RNAcentral lists this long non-coding RNA (1445 nucleotides) under Ananas comosus (pineapple). Its description in RNAcentral is "long non-coding RNA (ACOM_LNC023347)". Lineage: Eukaryota; Viridiplantae; Streptophyta; Magnoliopsida; Poales; Bromeliaceae. The record is from RNAcentral.
UUAGUAGAUGAUUACAUUUCCGUUCCUUGCAUGUUACCUAGGUUGUGUAGCAUUGUGGGCCUGACACUUGAUCUUAGGUUGCAUGAGGAUGGGGUCUUGUGACAAGAAUCCUAUAGUGACAAGAAUGAUGAUGAACUUGGACAUGUAAUUGGCCUAGACGAGUGGCAUUUGGACUAGUGUAACAAAGACACUAUAAUAUUGACGAGUGGCAUGUCGAUUUAGUGUAUUAAGACACAUAUAACAUCAUGACAUAAACGAGUGGCAUCAAAUCUAGUGUAGUGAAACACUAUGGCAUUUGAACCUAGGGAUAGUAGAUUUUCCCGAUUGUCAUGUUGUAGACAUUAUGCAUUUGGCAUUAGUGCAUUUGAGGCAUUGAUUAUGCAUUUGGUAUUGUGCAGCAGAGGCACAUUGACCCUGGUAGAUAGGGUAUCCUCUUGUGAGGAUUGGAUCAUACUCACUAGUCUGUUUUUGCUUGUCGGUGGUCGCUCCACCGAAGCACGAGUCUCCGGAGUACUUCACUAGGGGCAGACGUAGUUGUCCCGCAGACGGUCUCGGUGUGCGAGUGCAGAUUCUCCUCACCUAUGAGAUUGAAAGUGAGUCGGGGUUGACCCCGGGGUGGCAACCUUCAGGUUAGCCAUGAGAUUGGAUACUAUCGAGGCAUAGUUGCACGACGCACUAUGUAGUAGCUCGUUCAUUCGGAUUAUUGAGGCAUAGUAGCAUGUGCAGAUACAUCACUAUGUAGUAGCUCAUUUCUAAGCAGAUUGGGUAAAGAAUAUGAAUGGCAUAGCAUAUUUGAAUUCAUACCUUGAGUUGACAUUGAGACAUAGUAGCAUGUUGUAGAUACAUCACUAUGUAGUAGCUCAUUUCUAUUAUUGUUGAAGCAUAGUAUCAUGAUUAGUAGAAUAUCAUUGCUAUGUUCAUACAUUCCAUGAUUACAGAGGCAUAGUAGCAUGUGUGUAUUCCAUUACUAUGUAGCAGCUCGUACUUAGUAGAGCGAGAUUGAGUCGGGCGAGGAGCGGGGUAGCUCUUUGCCUAGGACCUUCGAGAUUGAGUCGGGCAAGGAGCGGGGUAGCUCUUUGUCUAGGACCUUUGAGAUUUGAGAUCUUAGGCAAGUUGGCCUAGUCGAUUGGGUUGUAACAUGAAUAGCAUAAGUGGAUUGCAUUCAUGCCAUGAUUGGACAUAGUAGACUGCAUAACUUUAUUGUAGUUGUAUUUAUUACACUGUUGAAGCAUACUAGCAUGAUAGUAGGUUAUUGCUAGCUGAUGUUCCAUGCAUUCUUUGCAUUUGAUGGCAUAGUAGAUAUAGUAGCAAUGUAUUUCUAUCUACCUUUCUAUCUAUCUAUCUGUGCCAGCUUGGACCUAGUGGGAAAACCGGCGGCGUCGGCGGCCGAACCCACUGGGAACUAUAUUUAUAUAGUUCUCACCCCGUGUGGUUUUGGGGUACAG